This 253-nucleotide ribosomal RNA is filed under the name uncultured bacterium. RNAcentral's name for it is "partial 16S ribosomal RNA". It matches the Rfam family "Bacterial small subunit ribosomal RNA", at positions 524 to 776 of the family's 1533-position model. The record is from RNAcentral.
UACGAAGGGGGCGAGCGUUGUUCGGAUUUACUGGGCGUAAAGGGCGCGCAGGCGGCUCAUUUUGUCAGGCGUGAAAGCCCCGGGCUUAACCUGGGAACUGCGUUUGAUACGGAUGGGCUAGAGUUCGGGAGAGGAGAGUGGAAUUCCCAGUGUAGAGGUGAAAUGCGUAGAUAUCUGGAGGAACACCGGUGGCGAAGGCGGCAUCCUGGACCAUGACUGACACUGAAAAGCGAAAGCCAGGGGAGCAAACGGG